GACGAACGCUGGCGGCGCGCCUAACACAUGCAAGUCGAGCGAGAACCAGGGCUUCGGUCCUGGGGAAAGCGGCGAACGGGUGAGUAACACGUGGGUAAUCUGCCCUCGGCACCGGGAUAGCCCGGGGAAACCCGGAUUAAUACCGGAUAGCCUCCGGAGCCUUCGGGCGCCGGAGAAAAGGUAGCUUCGGCCUCCGGCCGAGGAUGAGCCCGCGGCGGAUUAGCUUGUUGGCGGGGUAACGGCCCACCAAGGCAACGAUCCGUAGCUGGUCUGAGAG
Molecule: ribosomal RNA, 277 nt
Filed under: uncultured bacterium
Lineage: Bacteria
Description: partial 16S ribosomal RNA
Rfam family: Bacterial small subunit ribosomal RNA
Source: RNAcentral